UAGGUUACUUUAAUAAUAUUUUGCUCUAAUAACUACAAGAGGCCCAUGGGCCACAUCGCUCAUCUGAGCCACCUUGGCCCUGCCAUUGUUCAAGGUCAACACCAAACUAAAAUAAGACCUUGCCAUAAAGAAUCCAUAUACGAAAUAUGAAAGCUGUUGUGAAAUGUAAUGCUGUGUGGGUGUGGGUGACAUCAUAGUGACUGUGACAUGCCACGACGUUGUUGUAAACAGUUUUUAAAAAAACAAGUAAUGAUGAAAUGACAAAACGUGUUGUUUUCACUAGCUUAGAUAAUACGAAACAUUUGGUGCCGUGACUAUGAGUUUGAAUCUUAAGGUUGUCCGUGGCGGACACAGACGCACAAUUAUAGUCAACAAAUACGAUUGGGAAACCAUAUUCAAAACCUGACCCACCUCAACUACCACAGGAUAGAGUAACGGACUCUGCCAUUUCAUACUACAGGUGUAGACUUUGCAGGACCCUUAUAUGUAAAGGACAAUGGUAGUCAACGGAAAAUGUACAUUUGUCUCUUUACAUGUGCGUGGACUCGAGCUAUUAGAACUAGUUCCAAUCUACCAACGGAUUCAUUUAUUCUGGCAUUUAGACGUUUUGUGAGCAGUAAAAAUUCCCCUCAAACGAUGUACUUGGACAAUGCCGCAACAUUCGUAUCUGCACAUGCAAAAAUAGUGCAAACUCUAAACUGCAAAAUUAAUCAGAAAUUAAUUCCAAAGGGAGCACCCUGGUAUAGCAGCUGGUGGGAAAGAUUGAUCUGAAUGACAAAGAUUUACACUGAAAAAGGUCCUGGGGAAAGCUCAAAUACACGAAGAAAACUUCCGAACUAUUUUAAGCGAAAUAGAAACCAUUAAUAAGGACAGACUGUUAACCUACGUUUCAUCUGAAAUUCAAGCUUUACAGCCGUUAACGCCAUCUCAUCUAUUAUAUGGACGAAUGAAAACUACACCAUCAGUGUCAGUCUCCCAGGAAAAUACAAACAUCACGCAUACCGAAGCAAAUAAACAAUUGGAGAGAGAAGAAUUGGUUCUACAACAUUUUCUAAAACGAUGAAGAAUGGAAUACCUCACAGGAUCACGCGAGUUUCAUAAAUUUUCAGGAAACGAUACUAAAAUUUAGGUUGGUGACAUAGUUCAAUUCUACGAUAAAAUGCCUCGUACAAAAUGGAAGUUAGCUAUGGUAGAUAAACUCAUUACAGGAAACAAUGGAUUAGUACGUGCAGCAAAAAUUCAAACAAAAUCACAACGCGACCAGUUACCAAACUUUAUCCUCUGGAACUUCCCAGGGCUCGCGCUGCCCAUCGCAUUUGUCGCAUUUUGCGAUUUUUCAGAAAAAAAUGCGACACGGACAUUUCGUAUUUUAGUAUUCGCGCGCCAUUUUGAAUUUCAGCUGUUGGCAUCCAAACAGCCUCAGGGCUGUUUUACCUGUGCAGAAUGUGGAUACCCUGUCGCAUGGGAACAAUAAGACUUAGGGGCGUCUUGUUUAUUUAGCAGUUUACACAAAACAAAGGGUUGAUCCUCUAUGUGCAGACUUCAUGAAGUCCCUUCUCCUCUACAUGAUGAGAUUCACCAAAGGACCACUUUAUCAUUCUGGAUUUCAAGAUGAAAACAGGAUUCUUCAGUGAAAAUGUGAUGUGAAACUAUGAUCAUGUGUUAUGUAUUACAGUAAUUAAUUUUCAGUAACUUUGUCAUCAGUGACUUUUUCUAGACUGCAAAUUUAAUGAGUAAUAUAUGUCAUUUACACUACUAAAAUGAUUAAUAAACAUUUAGAAACUCA
Long non-coding RNA from Ostrea edulis (European flat oyster), 1786 nucleotides. RefSeq lists it as uncharacterized. The transcript is spliced from 2 exons. NCBI's taxonomy places the organism in Eukaryota, Metazoa, Mollusca, Bivalvia, Ostreida, Ostreidae. The record is from RefSeq and is a predicted model, not a curated record.